AGAAACUUAGGAUAACCCAAACCCUCCCAAACCGGAGGCCUUCAAAGCCUCAAAUAAGAGUUAAACCCUCUUAGUUUCUG
RNAcentral lists this transfer RNA (80 nucleotides) under Aburria aburri. RNAcentral describes it as "tRNA-Trp". The record is from RNAcentral. Lineage: Eukaryota; Metazoa; Chordata; Aves; Galliformes; Cracidae. RNAcentral also lists the same sequence under 2 other names.